GGGGGUAAUCAUUUAUGAUCCUGUUACUGCUAAUAAUGGGUUUGGUAAUUAAUCGUUAUCUACCUCUU
RNAcentral lists this transfer RNA (68 nucleotides) under Paradiplozoon opsariichthydis. RNAcentral's name for it is "tRNA-Ser". Lineage: Eukaryota; Metazoa; Platyhelminthes; Monogenea; Mazocraeidea; Diplozoidae. The record is from RNAcentral.